RNAcentral lists this ribosomal RNA (468 nucleotides) under uncultured bacterium. RNAcentral describes it as "partial 16S ribosomal RNA". It matches the Rfam family "Bacterial small subunit ribosomal RNA", at positions 28 to 507 of the family's 1533-position model. The record is from RNAcentral.
GACGAACGCUGGCGGCGUGCUUAACACAUGCAAGUCGAACGGAAAGGCCCUGCUUUUGUGGGGUGCUCGAGUGGCGAACGGGUGAGUAGCACGUGAGUAACCUGCCCUUGACUUUGGGAUAACUUCAGGAAACAGGGGCUAAUACCGGAUAGGAGCUCCUGCUGCAUGGUGGGGGUUGGAAAGUUUCGGCGGUUGGGGAUGGACUCGCGGCUUAUCAGCUUGUUGGUGGGGUAGUGGCUUACCAAGGCUUUGACGGGUAGCCGGCCUGAGAGGGUGACCGGCCACAUUGGGACUGAGAUACGGCCCAGACUCCUACGGGAGGCAGCAGUGGGGAAUAUUGCACAAUGGGCGGAAGCCUGAUGCAGCAACGCCGCGUGCGGGAUGACGGCCUUCGGGUUGUAAACCGCUUUCGCCUGUGACGAAGCGUGAGUGACGGUAAUGGGUAAAGAAGCACCGGCUAACUACGUG